This 253-nucleotide ribosomal RNA is filed under the name uncultured bacterium. Its description in RNAcentral is "partial 16S ribosomal RNA". It matches the Rfam family "Bacterial small subunit ribosomal RNA", at positions 524 to 776 of the family's 1533-position model. The record is from RNAcentral.
UACGUAGGGUGCGAGCGUUGUCCGGAAUUAUUGGGCGUAAAGGGCUCGUAGGCGGUUUGUCACGUCGGGAGUGAAAACUCGGGGCUUAACCCCGAGCCUGCUUCCGAUACGGGCAGACUAGAGGUAUGCAGGGGAGAACGGAAUUCCUGGUGUAGCGGUGAAAUGCGCAGAUAUCAGGAGGAACACCGGUGGCGAAGGCGGGUCUCUGGGCCGAUACUGACGCUGAGGAGCGAAAGCGUGGGGAGCGAACAGG